GAUGAACGCUAGCGGCAGGCCUAACACAUGCAAGUCGAGGGGUAGAACACUUCGGUGUUUGAGACCGGCGCACGGGUGCGUAACGCGUAUGCAAUCUACCUUGUACAGGGGAAUAGCCCAGAGAAAUUUGGAUUAAUGCCCCAUAGUAUAUAACCUUCGCAUGUUGGUUAUAUUAAAGUUCCAACGGUACAAGAUGAGCAUGCGUCCCAUUAGUUAGUUGGUAAGGUAACGGCUUACCAAGACGAUGAUGGGUAGGGGUCCUGAGAGGGAGAGCCCCCACACUGGUACUGAGACACGGACCAGACUCCUACGGGAGGCAGAAGUGAGGAAUAUUGGUCAAUGGUCGCAAGACUGAACCAGCCAUGCCGCGUGCAGGAAGACGGUCCUAUGGAUUGUAAACUGCUUUUAUACAGGAAGAAACCCUCCCACGUGUGGGAGCUUGACGGUACUGUAGGAAUAAGGAUCGGCUAACUCCGUGCCAGCAGCCGCCGUAA
Molecule: ribosomal RNA, 494 nt
Filed under: uncultured bacterium
Lineage: Bacteria
Description: partial 16S ribosomal RNA
Rfam family: Bacterial small subunit ribosomal RNA
Source: RNAcentral